This 339-nucleotide unclassified non-coding RNA is filed under the name soil metagenome. RNAcentral describes it as "partial contains 5.8S ribosomal RNA, internal transcribed spacer 2, and large subunit ribosomal RNA". The stretch from base 1 to 120 matches the Rfam family "5.8S ribosomal RNA", at positions 35 to 154 of the family's 154-position model. The record is from RNAcentral.
GAUGAAGAACGAAGCGAAAUGCGAUAAGUAGUGUGAAUUGCAGAAUUCAGUGAAUCAUCGAAUCUUUGAACGCACAUUGCGCCCUUUGGUAUUCCUUAGGGCAUGCCUGUUCGAGCGUCAUUUAAACCUUCAAGCUCAGCUUGGUGUUGGGUGACUGUCCGCCGCCUCCGGGCGGUCGGACUCGCCUCAAAUUGAUUGGCGGCCGGUACUUUGGCUUCGAGCGCAGCAGAAACGCGAACUCGAGGCCGUCGUCCUGGCUCCCAGAAGCUAUCUUCACAAUUUUGACCUCGGAUCAGGUAGGGAUACCCGCUGAACUUAAGCAUAUCAAUAAGCGGAGGA